GAGGAUCGAAAAUUUUCUUCUUUGGCUGAGCCUCUCUCACAUCUUCUUACAAAACUUCAAGCACACCAGCUUCUUUCCUCCUAUUAUUCUUUUUCUUAGAGGAUGAUGACUCACUAACUUGAUAACUUUUCAUUUUAGGGGUCAGGAUACUUACCAAUCCCCCACGUCGUCCCUGCUCACUAGGUCACUUGGUGCGAUGUUUCCCG
RNAcentral lists this long non-coding RNA (206 nucleotides) under Gossypium barbadense (sea-island cotton). RNAcentral describes it as "long non-coding RNA (GBAR_LNC000983)". Lineage: Eukaryota; Viridiplantae; Streptophyta; Magnoliopsida; Malvales; Malvaceae. The record is from RNAcentral.